CGCCUACGGGGGGCAGCAGUGGGGGAUAUUGCACAAUGGGGGCAACCCUGAUGCAGCGACGCCGCGUGAGCGAUGGAGUACUUCGGUAUGUAAAGCUCUGUCAGCAGGGAAGAGAAUGACGGUACCUGACCAAGAAGCCCCGGCUAACUACGUGCCAGCAGCCGCGGUAAUACGUAGGUGGCAAGCGUUAUCCGGAUUUAUUGGGUGUAAAGGGCGUGUAGGCGGGAGCGCAAGUCAGAUGUGAAAACUCAGGGCUCAACCCUGAGCCUGCAUUUGAAACUGUGUUUCUUGAGUGCUGGAGAGGG
Molecule: ribosomal RNA, 305 nt
Filed under: uncultured bacterium
Lineage: Bacteria
Description: bacterial SSU rRNA
Rfam family: Bacterial small subunit ribosomal RNA
Source: RNAcentral